GAUGAAGAACGUAGCGAAAUGCGAUAAGUAAUGCGAAUUGCAGAAUUUCCGUGAGUCAUCGAAUCUUUGAACGCACAUUGCGCCCGCCAGUAUUCUGGCGGGCAUGCCUGUUCGAGCGUCAUUUCAACCAUCAAGCCCCGGGCUUGUGUUGGGGACCUGCGGCUGCCGCAGGCCCUGAAAUGCAGUGGCGGGCUCGCUGUCACUCCGAGCGUAGUAAUACAUCUCGCUCUGGACGUGCUGCGGGUUCCGGCCGUUAAAAGCCUUAUUUACCCAAGGUUGACCUCGGAUCAGGUAGGAAGACCCGCUGAACUUAAGCAUAUCAAUAAGCGGAGGA
This 334-nucleotide unclassified non-coding RNA is filed under the name soil metagenome. RNAcentral describes it as "partial contains 5.8S ribosomal RNA, internal transcribed spacer 2, and large subunit ribosomal RNA". The stretch from base 1 to 121 matches the Rfam family "5.8S ribosomal RNA", at positions 35 to 154 of the family's 154-position model. The record is from RNAcentral.